RNAcentral lists this ribosomal RNA (253 nucleotides) under uncultured bacterium. Its description in RNAcentral is "partial 16S ribosomal RNA". It matches the Rfam family "Bacterial small subunit ribosomal RNA", at positions 524 to 776 of the family's 1533-position model. The record is from RNAcentral.
UACAGAGGGUGCUAGCGUUGUUCGGAAUCAUUGGGCGUAAAGGGCGUGUAGGCGGUUUGUUAAGUCAUGUGUGAAAUCCCUCGGCUCAACCGGGGAACGACGCAUGAAACUGGCAAGCUAGAGUACCAAAGAGGGGGGUGGAAUUCCCGGUGUAGCGGUGAAAUGCGUAGAUAUUGGGAGGAACACCAGUGGCGAAGGCGGCUCACUGGACCGGAACUGACGCUGAGGCGCGAAAGCGUGGGGAGCAAACGGG